RNAcentral lists this transfer RNA (72 nucleotides) under Astyanax mexicanus (Mexican tetra). It matches the Rfam family "tRNA". Rfam says of the family: Transfer RNA (tRNA) molecules are approximately 80 nucleotides in length. Their secondary structure includes four short double-helical elements and three loops (D, anti-codon, and T loops). Further hydrogen bonds mediate the characteristic L-shaped molecular structure. tRNAs have two regions of fundamental functional importance: the anti-codon, which is responsible for specific mRNA codon recognition, and the 3' end, to which the tRNAs corresponding amino acid is attached (by aminoacyl-tRNA synthetases). tRNAs cope with the degeneracy of the genetic code in two manners: having more than one tRNA (with a specific anti-codon) for a particular amino acid; and 'wobble' base-pairing, i.e. permitting non-standard base-pairing at the 3rd anti-codon position. The record is from Rfam by way of RNAcentral. Lineage: Eukaryota; Metazoa; Chordata; Actinopteri; Characiformes; Acestrorhamphidae.
GAUCUUGUGGCUCACUGGUUGAAGCUCUGCCUCAUGAUUAAGAGGUUGCUGGUUCAAGACCAGCCAGGAUCU